Zingiber officinale is the source of this 1383-nucleotide long non-coding RNA. RefSeq lists it as uncharacterized. Lineage: Eukaryota; Viridiplantae; Streptophyta; Magnoliopsida; Zingiberales; Zingiberaceae. The record is from RefSeq and is a predicted model, not a curated record. The transcript is spliced from 4 exons.
CCCAUACUUGGGGUUACGGAUCGAUUGAUAGUGAAGUCGGCGGGACUCUCCCAGAUCGCCCGACCGACGACGAUUGCGCAUCAGAAGCACCGAUGGGGCUCCCUGCGGCCGGAGGUUCUACUCAAAGCAAGCUGUCGCGGGCGGGGCGGGGCGAGGCGAGGCGCACGGUGGCUGUCAAAUUUCUGGAGAAAAAAAAAGCGCAGGAACUCGAUGGAUGAAGAAGAUUGUAGGGUUUACGGAGAGGAACAAGCAUUUUGGGGACCGACUUGGAGUCUCUUCAGAUUGGAUUAAAAAACCGUUGCAGCGACCGCUUCAUCGACUGGCCCGGGUUAAGCAUCUUCGGCAAGGUUUCGGAAGACGGAGUGGGAGGCAGAGUCGGAACCGUAGACUCCGCCAUGGCUUCCUGCUGCCGAUCAUGUUGGCUAAUCAGGUUUUGCUUUCCUAUUAUUUCUUCCAUCUUCUCGGCCAUGGAUAUAAUUGCUCUCGCUUGCAUCUCUGUGGCGUCACAUACAAAAAUCCUGCCUUUAUAUAAGAUCGUCAUUUGCUUCUUCUGUUCUUGCUGCUGGUGAGCUGGUGAGAAUCUCAACCAUGAUUCCAUCCUGCAUCAUUAGUUUCCAGUCAUUAUAUAUAUAUUUAUAUAUUCAAAAUGAAAUAAAACAGAGGAACCUGAGAAAACUUUUCUUUACCUGUGGAGUCUCAUAGAGUUGGACGUCCAGUUGCUGCCAUCGCCGGCGGCGGCCUGACCGCCAACGGAGAGCCGGAGCUCAGGGUCACACCUCUUUUCCAUCUUCUCUUCUUGGGUUGAAGGGAGAAGAGAAGGCGACGAAUAAAUACGCGGAUUCGCGAGAAAUAUUUUGCGGCACGUGGAGAAUGCGGUGUUUACUUGGUCACGAAAGCGACGUCGUCUUGGGCACGCGAUCCUGUUGGUUUUUAGCAAUUGUUCUUUAAUCGGAUAUAUAUUUUUCCACGUGCAGGAAUUGAAAUCCUGGGGCGGGGAGGUGGAUCCGUACACGAUUUGAGUUGCUCCCAAUGUUCGGGGUUGCCUCGUGCUUUGUUGCUUUUUUUGAGGCUGGUGGUGGGCGUCUGGAGACAACCAACCCAACGUUUCUCUUCAAAACAUUCAAACAUGCUUAAUUUGGAGCACGACGGAUUUCAGUUCCAAUGGGCUCAACCAACAGGGCAAGCAUCAACCUCUUCAAAGUGUUAUUUAAAUUGCUUACAUGAAAGUCUCCAUUAGAUGGACAGAUGGUCAUUGGAUGGGAUAUUAUCAUGAAGAGAUCCGGAUGUCAAUUCCUUAAUGCAAAAUAUUUGUCAGGUUCUUAGUUUUCCUUAUAGGAUAGUCACUAUUUAAAAAUAAAAUUAUUCUUAAUUUAUCUCUAUAAA